GAGUAACACGUGGGAAACCUGCCCAGAAGCGGGGGAUAACACCUGGAAACAGAUGCUAAUACCGCAUAACAACUURGACCGCAUGGUCCGAGYUUGAAAGAUGGCUUCGGCUAUCACUUUUGGAUGGUCCCGCGGCGUAUUAGCUAGAUGGUGRGGUAAYGGCUCACCAUGGCAAUGAUACGUAGCCGACCUGAGAGGGUAAUCGGCCACAUUGGGACUGAGACACGGCCCAAACUCCUACGGGAGGCAGCAGUAGGGAAUCUUCCACAAUGGACGAAAGUCUGAUGGAGCAACGCCGCGUGAGUGAAGAAGGGUUUCGGCUCGUAAAACUCUGUUGUUAAAGAAGAACAUAUCUGAGAGUAACUGUUCAGGUAUUGACGGUAUUUAACCAGAAAGCCACGGCUAACUACGUGCCAGCAGCCGCGGUAAUACGUAGGUGGCAAGCGUUGUCCGGAUUUAUUGGGCGUAAAGCGAGCGCAGGCGGUUUUUUAAGUCUGAUGUGAAAGCCUUCGGCUCAACCGAAGAAGUGCAUCGGAAACUGGGAAACUUGAGUGCAGAAGAGGACAGUGGAACUCCAUGUGUAGCGGUGAAAUGCGUAGAUAUAUGGAAGAACACCAGUGGCGAAGGCGGCUGUCUGGUCUGUAACUGACGCUGAGGCUCGAAAGUAUGGGUAGCAAACAGGAUUAGAUACCCUGGUAGUCCAUACCGUAAACGAUGAAUGCUAAGUGUUGGAGGGUUUCCGCCCUUCAGUGCUGCAGCUAACGCAUUAAGCAUUCCGCCUGGGGAGUACGGCCGCAAGGCUGAAACUCAAAGGAAUUGACGGGGGCCCGCACAAGCGGUGGAGCAUGUGGUUUAAUUCGAAGCUACGCGAAGAACCUUACCAGGUCUUGACAUAC
This 896-nucleotide ribosomal RNA is filed under the name Lactobacillus sp. LAB-3. Its description in RNAcentral is "bacterial SSU rRNA". It matches the Rfam family "Bacterial small subunit ribosomal RNA", at positions 108 to 989 of the family's 1533-position model. Lineage: Bacteria; Bacillati; Bacillota; Bacilli; Lactobacillales; Lactobacillaceae. The record is from RNAcentral.